This 1336-nucleotide ribosomal RNA is filed under the name Bifidobacterium adolescentis. Its description in RNAcentral is "partial 23S ribosomal RNA". It matches the Rfam family "Bacterial large subunit ribosomal RNA", at positions 556 to 1901 of the family's 2925-position model. The record is from RNAcentral. Lineage: Bacteria; Bacillati; Actinomycetota; Actinomycetes; Bifidobacteriales; Bifidobacteriaceae.
CCGUGUGCCCACAACAAGCCCAAGCCCCUUAAUGGGUCAUGGCGUUUCUUUCGUAGAAUCAACCGGCGAGUUACGAUUGCAUGCGAGGUUAAGUCGAAGAGACGGAGCCGCAGCGAAAGCGAGUCUGAAUAGGGCGUUUGAGUAUGUAGUCGUAGACCCGAAACCAUGUGAUCUACCCAUGUCCAGGUUGAAGGUGCGGUAAAACGCACUGGAGGACCGAACCCACGUACGUUGAAAAGUGCGGGGAUGAGGUGUGGGUAGCGGAGAAAUUCCAAACGAACUUGGAGAUAGCUGGUUCUCUCCGAAAUAGCUUUAGGGCUAGCCUCGGAUUUGAGAAUGAUGGAGGUAGAGCACUGUUUGGACUAGGGGCCCAUCUCGGGUUACCGAAUUCAGAUAAACUCCGAAUGCCAUUCAUUCAUAUCCGGGAGUCAGACUGUGAGUGAUAAGAUCCAUAGUCGAAAGGGAAACAGCCCAGACCACCAGCUAAGGUCCCAAAAUAUAUGUUAAGUGGAAAAGGAUGUGGGGUUGCACAGACAACUAGGAUGUUGGCUCAGAAGCAGCCACCAUUUAAAGAGUGCGUAAUAGCUCACUAGUCGAGUGACCCUGCGCCGAAAAUGUACCGGGGCUAAACAUAUUACCGAAGCUGUGGAGUACACCAUUAGGUGUAUUGGUAGGAGAGCGUUCUAAGGGCGUUGAAGGCAGAUCGUGAGGACUGCUGGAGCGCUUAGAAGUGAGAAUGCCGGUAUGAGUAGCGAAAGACAGGUGAGAAUCCUGUCCACCGAAUGACUAAGGUUUCCUGGGGAAGGCUCGUCCGCCCAGGGUUAGUCGGGACCUAAGCCGAGGCCGACAGGCGUAGGCGAUGGACAACAGGUUGAUAUUCCUGUACUCGUUGUUUUUGUUUGAGCAAUGGAGGGACGCAGGAGGCUAAGGAAUGCAGACGAUUGGAAAUGUCUGUCCAAGCAGUAAGUCUUGAUAGGAGUCAAAUGCUUCUGUCUACACGGAUAAGCUGUGAUGGGGAGGGAAAUAAUAGUACCGAAGUUCCUGAUGUCACACUGCCAAGAAAAGCUUCUAGUGAGAAAACAAUGACCCGUACCGCAAACCGACACAGGUAGUCGAGGAGAGAAUCCUAAGGUGAGCGAGAGAACUCUCGUUAAGGAACUCGGCAAAAUGACCCCGUAACUUCGGGAGAAGGGGUGCUGAUCUUUGAUCAGCCGCAGUGAAUAGGCCCAAGCGACUGUUUAUCAAAAACACAGGUCUCUGCAAAAUCGUAAGGUGAAGUAUAGGGGCUGACGCCUGCCCGGUGCUGGAAGGUUAAGAGGAGUGCUUAGCGUAAGCG